Molecule: long non-coding RNA, 3026 nt
Organism: Amborella trichopoda
Lineage: Eukaryota; Viridiplantae; Streptophyta; Magnoliopsida; Amborellales; Amborellaceae
Source: RefSeq, a predicted model, not a curated record
UCUCCACUCCUCCCUCCUCCCUCUCCCUCUCCCUCUCCCUCUCCACCCAAACUUGACGGCCUUCUCUCUCUCCAUCUCCUGCAGCCCUGCCCUCUCAUGAUGGCAACUCUCUCUAUUCACAAUCAGUCACUGCUGCCCCUCUCUCUCCACCCAAACUCUAUCUUCUACGCUUCUCUCUCUCUCCACCAAACUAUCUCUCGCUCUCUCAAUCUCUUACGCUGUUGCAAACCUCUCUCAGACGAUCGGGGCACCCAAACCAUCCCUCCCUUUACUCAAUCUCCCGCUUUUCCCUCUCUCAAUCUCUCUCGUUGCUGCCCCAUUGUUGUUGCUCCUUUGCUCGAUUGGCGCAAUCUUCGGGAUUUGAGGUGCAUCCAAGGUUCAGACAAUAUUUGCAGACCUCUACUUGUGUGGGAUAAGUUGAAAGGUUUUUAUAGAUCCCACCAUGUCAAUUAGUGUGUUAUCUUCUCCGUGCCCAAUUGUAGACAGCACGAAUGACACCAUUGAGACCAUGGAGCAGGUUCCUUAUCUUAGAGAAAUGCGAGAUGGGGAACAUAGCUCAUCAACCAAUGGCCUACAAAUAGAAGAACCAUAUAUAGGGAUGAAGUUUGGUCAGAGAAUGAGGCAUAUGAGUAUUAUAAGGAGUAUACAUUAGCCAAAGGUUUUCGUGUCCGUAAGGGGACUGCCACAAUAAAGAUGGCCAAAGGAUUGAUAGAGAGCUCAAUUGUUCUAAGGAAGGGUUUCGCCAAGAGAAGAUCAGGUAGGUGAAAGGUACGCCAUGAAUCAAGGUGUGGUUGUAUGGCUAAGAUGGGCCUAAGUAGAAACACAAAUAAUGAGUGGGUUGUGACUAGGAUUGUUAAGGAACACAAUCACGGUUUUUGACUCCAAGAAAAGCUCGUUUAAUUCGCUCACAUCGAACAAUAUCAAGCGCUGCAAAGUUGAUGAUAGGUUCAAUGAGCUCGGCAUUGGUGAAGGCCAGAAUAUUCAUGACAUUUUCAUAGAGCAAUCUGGAGGGAUUGAUAAUGUUUAUUGUACACAAAAAGACAUCCAAAAUGUAAUCGCUAACUCCAGAUGAAAACCAAGAGGAGAAGAUGGAAGUCUUGUUAUGUAAUGGCUUUACAAAAUGAAAGAAUUGAACCCAUCUUUUUUUUAUAGAGUUAAAUUAGAUGAAGCCAAUCACAUCCUGAGCAUCUUAUGGGUAGAUGCCUUUUCUAGAGUUUCAUACCGGUGCUUCUCUGAUGUGGUAACUUUUGAUACCGCAUACAAAACAAACAGCUGUGAUAUGCCAUUUGCACCGAUUCUUGGUAUAAAUCACCAUCACAGUACAACUUUCUUUGGAUUUGCACUCAUUUUUUAAUGAAAUGGUUGAAUCAUUUGUAUGGAUAUUUGAAAAUUUGUUAGAAGCUAUGGGGGGACGUCAGCCUGGAGUUAUUCUCACUGAUCAAGAUGCAGUGAGACUAGUUUUUGACCAAAGUAAGCAUCAUUAUUGUAAGUGGCAUAUACUAUCUAAGAUUAAAGAAAAAUAUGUCAUGUCUUGCGUAGGCGUCCAAAUUGUUCAAAAACUUUCAAGAGGUGUGUGGCAAGUGCAACAGUGGAAGAAUUUGAAUUGGGGUGGAAAGAUAUGAUUGAGAAUUAUGGGCUAGAAAGUAAUGAGUGGCUUAUUAGGCUCUAUGGUUGUCGCAUGCAAUGGGUCGAUGCAUACUUGAGUGACACGCUUACAGCGGGUAUGUCUUCCACUCAAAGGAGUGAAGGGAUGAAUAAGCACUUCAAGAUGUACGUAUCCUCUUAUGAUAUCUAUACUCAAAAGAUUAUGAAGUUAUUUGCGGAAGAGGUGGUGAAUUGUAUUAAUUUCAUGAGCGAGUCAAUUGAGGACAACGGAUUGCUUGCCACUUUUAAGGUAGCAAUACCAAGAAGCUAUUCCACACCCUACCUUGUGGAAUUUAAUUCCAAUGACAAUAACGUUUGUUGCAGUUGUCACUUAUAUGAGAGGAUGGGUCUUCUUUGUAGGCAUGUGUUGAAGGUUUUUAUGGUGAAGAAUGUAUUUGAAAUACCCCCACAAUAUAUAAUGAAGUGUUGGAAGAAGGAUAAAAAAAAUGGGGUUUUUAACGAUAAGAGUGGCAAUCAAAUUCAAGAAACAUCUCAACUACCACGCUCCAUUAGAUAUAACGAGGUCUAUCAGGCAACUCGAUACCUCACCGAGCGUGCUUCAGAGAGUGAAGAGCUCUACGAAUUUAUAUGGCUAUAAUACGAAACGGAAUUUGUCAAGUUGAUAUCCAAUUUGGGCAUAAGGGAGGUCCACAGAAUGGCGCCACAAUCAAUUGUAAUGCUGAAGAGAAUGGCAAUGUUGAAGCGAAUGCUAAUAUCGAUGAGAAUGCAACUAGUUGUAGUGCCACACCAAGUGAAAGUGACCAUUGCCAAAAUAUCCUUGAGCCUCCACGAGCACGGACAAACGGAAGAUCUACCAAUAAAAGAAAGAAAGCUCGAUCGGAAGGGUGGAAGCCGAAGGAAAAUACCAGGAAAUGCACAGUUUGCAAGGGCAGUGGGCACGACAAAAGAAAUUGUCCGUCAUUCAUUCAUGCAAAGGCUGCUGAAAAAAUGUGAACGGUCUGCUAGGAAUGCUGAAGUAAACCAUUGAUCUAUUGUGAAUUAGGUUGGGUGCAACAAAGUGAUCUAAAAUUGGUGGAAAGCAAUAAAGUGAUCUUCGUUGAUGCAUAUAACAAGAGCAGAUGGUUCUCAACCACCUCAGGGAGCACUAGGGAGAAAUAUGUUACUGCAAACUCAAGAUGUCUAUUUAGGCUUUUUCAAUUUGCUGUUGCGGACUCAAGAUGUCUAUUUUGGCUUUUUGAAUUUUCUGCUGCGGACUCAAGAUGUCUAGUUUGCUUUUUUGCAAUUUGCUGCUGUAGACUCAAGAUGUCUAUUUUGCCUUUCUCAAUUUGCUAUUGCGGACGCAAGAUGUCUAUUUUGCCUUUUUUUGUUGUAUUCACUUUAGAAAAGAACUUUAUAGAAUAUAUGUUCAUUGUGUUGGUACA